Molecule: small nuclear RNA, 107 nt
Organism: Acomys russatus (golden spiny mouse)
Lineage: Eukaryota; Metazoa; Chordata; Mammalia; Rodentia; Muridae
Source: RefSeq, a predicted model, not a curated record
GUGCUCACUUCGGCAGCACAUACGCUAAAAUUGAAAGGAUACAGAGGAGAUUAGCAUGGCCCCUGUGCAAGAAUAACAUACAAAUUCGUGAGCAUUCCAUAUUUUUU